Molecule: ribosomal RNA, 121 nt
Filed under: Mus caroli (Ryukyu mouse)
Lineage: Eukaryota; Metazoa; Chordata; Mammalia; Rodentia; Muridae
Description: rRNA (MGP_CAROLIEiJ_G0034099.1)
Source: RNAcentral
GACUACUACCAUACCACCCUGAAUGCAUCUAACUUGUCUGAUUUCAGGACUUGAGCAUGGUCAGCCUUGGUUAGUACUUGGAUGAGAAGACUGCCCAGAACUUUUAAUUUUAUAGGGGUUC